This is a long non-coding RNA of Vicia villosa (hairy vetch), 893 nucleotides long. RefSeq lists it as uncharacterized. Lineage: Eukaryota; Viridiplantae; Streptophyta; Magnoliopsida; Fabales; Fabaceae. The transcript is spliced from 4 exons. The record is from RefSeq and is a predicted model, not a curated record.
UAGCGUCGAUGUUCAUGAUCUCGUUUUGUUUCUAUACAUUCAAUCCUACAAGAGUCUCCUCCCGCUGACGCCUAAGGAUUCCGCCGCUGUAGCGGAUGUUUGGCCUUCCACUUCCGCUUUUGAUGGAUACUUGUUCGCUCUCACGCCGCUUCAGCUUGUGCGGAGCAACAGUAAGCGGUUUACGCCGUCGCAGGGUGAUGAAGAAGCACAUCAGCUGUCUUAUCUGCAAAAGCAUUUGGCUAAUAUUGUGUCUCUACUAGCAGAGCCUGUGGAGGGGGAAAGUGAAGAAUCUCUGGUUUGUUUGUUUGUUUACUGCGUGCUUCCAUGAGUUACUGACUUUGGCUGCAUUGCUUUAUAUUUUUCAUAUUAUCAAUACUAAUCAAUUGGCAAUAUAAGUAAAUAAAAUUUUUGAUUAUACUGCAUAUGUGACUUUUAAGGAAGCUUAUGCCCUGGGAACUGCAUUAUUGCUUAAUGGUUCGAUGAUUUUGGACCAAAGCAUUUCCAUUUCACGUUGGGAAGCUUAUACAGAUGACAAUAAUUGGAACAGGCAUAACGUUGAAGACAGUAUUACAUGCUCUCAAAUUGCUAUAACAUCUUACGGAUUGGGCGUGUUAAUGUGAUCGGAGACGUUAUCUUAUUCCUCGAAAAACUAUGUGUCAGCCUCUCAAGUGCUGUUUUCGCUUUCCUCAUGUUAGACACUCAAAUACAAAUCCGCGCAUAACAAGAUUUCAUCUCCGUUCUUUCCUGUCAUGUUAUGUUUUUAUUACCUAACAUCACCAUAAUCGAUAACAAUCACCAUAAAAAUACAUUCUGCAUAAGCAUGCUUAACACACAGUUUUAAUCUAAUCUCAAUUUCUCAUGUGGCAGAGGCGCUGUACGAUUCUUUCCAAAAG